AUUGAACGCUGGCGGCAGGCUUAACACAUGCAAGUCGAGCGGGGGAAGGUAGCUUGCUACCGGACCUAGCGGCGGACGGGUGAGUAAUGCUUAGGAAUCUGCCUAUUAGCGGGGGACAACAUCUCGAAAGGGAUGCUAAUACCGCAUACGUCCUAUGGAAGAAAGCAGGGGAUCUUCGGACCUUGCGCUAAUAGAUGAGCCUAAGUCGGAUUAGCUAGUUGGUGGGGUAAAGGCCUACCAAGGCGACGAUCUGUAGCGGGUCUGAGAGGAUGAUCCGCCACACUGGGACUGAGACACGGCCCAGACUCCUACGGGAGGCAGCAGUGGGGAAUAUUGGACAAUGGGGGGAACCCUGAUCCAGCCAUGCCGCGUGUGUGAAGAAGGCCUUAUGGUUGUAAAGCACUUUAAGCGAGGAGGAGGCUACUUUAGUUAAUACCUAGAGAUAGUGGACGUUACUCGCAGAAUAAGCACCGGCUAACUCUGUGCCAGCCGCCGCCGUAA
This 501-nucleotide ribosomal RNA is filed under the name uncultured bacterium. RNAcentral describes it as "partial 16S ribosomal RNA". It matches the Rfam family "Bacterial small subunit ribosomal RNA", at positions 30 to 523 of the family's 1533-position model. The record is from RNAcentral.